GGUCCCGUCGUCUAGUCCGGUUAGGACGCCUGGUUUUCAUCCAGGUAACAGGGGUUCAAAUCCCCUCGGGACCG
Molecule: transfer RNA, 74 nt
Filed under: Candidatus Wildermuthbacteria bacterium
Lineage: Bacteria; Candidatus Wildermuthiibacteriota
Description: tRNA-Glu
Rfam family: tRNA
About the family: Transfer RNA (tRNA) molecules are approximately 80 nucleotides in length. Their secondary structure includes four short double-helical elements and three loops (D, anti-codon, and T loops).
Source: RNAcentral